CACGUCCACCUUCUGCUGAUGAAAGGAGUUUUUUCUAGUUAAUUCACUGAGAAAGUCGAAAAGUGAACACAUUCUCAGUUCCCAUCAUCAACAUCAAAAAGAGGAAUAUAACUCUCUCCUAAGCAGGAGCGAUAAACAAGCAUCAACCCUCUCUCAAACAAAGGUCAACCCAAACCCCCAAACUUUCCCCAAAAAGAAAUGCAGCAACAACCAACCCCCACCCCCACCCCCACCUCCGAUUCCGAUCUCCCCCGCCUCGCUAACAUCAAAAUCAAAUCCUCUUCCCCCCGUUUCCCACCUCCCACCACCCCUUCCACCACCGAUACCCCCACCGCUGGUGCUCAACGCAAGAUCGGCAUCGCCGUCGAUCUAAGCGACGAGUCCGCUUUCGCCGUUAAGUGGGCCGUCCAUCAGUACCUCCGUCCAGGUGACGCCGUCAUCCUUCUCCACGUCCGUCCCACUUCCGUCCUCUACGGCGCCGAUUGGGGCUCCGUUGAUCUCUCCAUCGUCGAUACCGAAAACGAAGAGUCUCAGCGAAAACUCGAGGAUGAUUUCGACACGUUUACUACUACUAAAGUCUCGGACAUAUCUCAGCCGUUAGUUGAUGCUCAGAUUCCGUUCAAAAUCCACAUCGUUAAGGAUCACGAUAUGAGGGAAAGGCUAUGUCUCGAGGUGGAGAGGCUAGGGCUUAGCGCUGUAAUUAUGGGUAGCCGAGGUUUUGGGGCUACUAAGAGAGGAAGCGAUGGAAGACUGGGAAGUGUUAGUGAUUAUUGUGUGAGGCACUGUGUUUGUCCUGUUGUGGUUGUUAGGUACCCGGAUGAUAAGGAUAGUGGUGCAAAUGCAGUUUCUGAGCCCGUGGUUUCUGUUGCAUCAGCUGCUGAAGAAGAUGAGGAGGAAGCUGAGU
RNAcentral lists this long non-coding RNA (904 nucleotides) under Nicotiana tabacum (common tobacco). RNAcentral describes it as "long non-coding RNA (NTAB_LNC007605)". Lineage: Eukaryota; Viridiplantae; Streptophyta; Magnoliopsida; Solanales; Solanaceae. The record is from RNAcentral.